GAAAUGCGAUAAGUAAUGUGAAUUGCAGAAUUCAGUGAAUCAUAGAAUCUUUGAACGCACCUUGCGCUCCUUGGUAUUCCUUGGAGCAUGCCUGUUUGAGUAUCAUGAAAUCUUCAAAGUAAAUCUUUUGUUAACUCAAUUGGUUUCUACUUUGGUAUUGGAGGUCUUUGCAGCUUCACACCUGCUCCUCUUUGUUCAUUAGCUGGAUCUCAGUGUUAUGCUUGGUUCCACUCGGCGUGAUAAGUUAUCUAUCGCUGAGGACACUGUAAAAGGUGGCCAAGGUAAAUGCAGAUGAACCGCUUCUAAUAGUCCAUUGACUUGGACAAUACUUUUAUGAUCUGAUCUCAACUCAGGUAGGACUACCCGCUGAACUUAAGC
Molecule: unclassified non-coding RNA, 378 nt
Filed under: plant metagenome
Description: partial contains 5.8S ribosomal RNA, internal transcribed spacer 2, and large subunit ribosomal RNA
Rfam family: 5.8S ribosomal RNA (bases 1-105)
Source: RNAcentral